UCUUUAUAUAGAUGUUUGCCGUUAAAAAAACUAGCACGGUUUGAUUUGGAAGUUUUGCAGUGAAAAACAUCACCUUCAAGUAGCAGCUGCUGAGAAGAUCGACCAGCUCAUGCCGGAGUUGGAGGCCAGAGGUUACGAUGGGUUUAACCUGGUGCAGAGGAUCCAGGAGGGAUUCACUUGGUUUAAAAAGAAGAAACAUAAACUCCUAUACAUACCAUUUCAUUUUUAGAGUUGGUUUGUACUUGAAACAGUCCGUCUUCUCUCAAGGUCAAUUGGAUGUUUUGAUAUUUAUAACAACCGCUUCUAUGAUCCCAAGAUUGUGCUAGAUUUUGUUGUGAGUAGAACCGAGUCCAUCCAUUUCUACAUUUGUAGGCUCACAAAACACAAAUUUAAUUAUAUCAUUUUUAUGCUCAUCGGUGCUUCCCAUAUCUUCAGAGGUGUUUCGCCACGUGUUUACCGUUCCAUUCUAACUUUUUUAGACGAGUUGUGCACCUCACGACGACUAAUACAUCACCGUUGAGAGCAACAUUCGAGUAACCCAACUCCAUCAAUUUCGCCAAUGUCUUGACGACUGACACAUCGUUGUCGAUAACAAGAUUCCGCAUGAACCAAUAUUGGCGCUGAAGAUGGCAUAUCUGACCCUUCGCUUCUUCGCAGUGGUGUUUCUUUUAUGCUAAAACGUGGUGGAUUCUUGAGACGAGUUGAGCAACUCACUUGAAAACUGAUACAUCACCGUCGAGAAAAAGAUUCCGCUAACCCAAAUCCAGUGAUUUCCGCCGGUAACUUGACGACUGACACAUCACUGUCGAGAGCAAGAUUCUGGAGUCAACAUUUGCUCACAUAGAGGGUUUAGAAGGUGUUGAUUCAUCAUUCAUAGGAUAUGCAGACGAAGUCGUGAAGGAACGUAUUGGAUGAAGUCAUAUUGAUCAAAGGAACUAAAACCACAAGUGCAUGGAUAAAACCUGGCCGAACUUUUUCUUUUUGUUCAUUUUCAUCGAGCCCUUUCUAUUGUAACUAUAAAAAGAAUUAAAUUAUCUAUUUGACCUAUUUAUACUAAUAAAGAUAUUAAAAUCUUCAUUGAAGA
This is a long non-coding RNA of Helianthus annuus (common sunflower), 1084 nucleotides long. RefSeq lists it as uncharacterized. The transcript is spliced from 4 exons. NCBI's taxonomy places the organism in Eukaryota, Viridiplantae, Streptophyta, Magnoliopsida, Asterales, Asteraceae. The record is from RefSeq and is a predicted model, not a curated record.